This 400-nucleotide ribosomal RNA is filed under the name uncultured bacterium. RNAcentral's name for it is "bacterial SSU rRNA". It matches the Rfam family "Bacterial small subunit ribosomal RNA", at positions 355 to 746 of the family's 1533-position model. The record is from RNAcentral.
UGAGGAAUUUUGCGCAAUGGCCGCAAGGCUGACGCAGCAACGCCGCGUGGGUGAUGAAGGCCUUCGGGUCGUAAAGCCCUGUCGGGUGGGAAGAAAGGGCCGACGAGGACAAGUCGUGGGUUUUGACGGUACCACCAGAGGAAGCACCGGCUAACUCCGUGCCAGCAGCCGCGGUAAUACGGAGGGUGCGAGCGUUAUUCGGAAUUACUGGGCGUAAAGGGCGAGUAGGCGGCGGGAUAAGUCUGAUGUGAAAGCCCCGGGCUUGACCUGGGAAGUGCAUUGGAGACUGUUUCGCUUGAGUACCGGAGAGGAAGGGGGAAUUCCCGGUGUAGAGGUGAAAUUCGUAGAGAUCGGGAGGAAUACCAGUGGCGAAGGCGCCCUUCUGGACGGUUACUGACGC